Oscillatoriales cyanobacterium is the source of this 82-nucleotide transfer RNA. It matches the Rfam family "tRNA". From Rfam's summary of the family: Transfer RNA (tRNA) molecules are approximately 80 nucleotides in length. Their secondary structure includes four short double-helical elements and three loops (D, anti-codon, and T loops). Lineage: Bacteria; Bacillati; Cyanobacteriota; Cyanophyceae; Oscillatoriales. The record is from Rfam.
GCGGAUGUGGCGGAAUUGGCAGACGCGCCAGAUUUAGGUUCUGGUUCCUCACGGAGUGAAGGUUCAAGUCCUUUCAUCCGCA